This 899-nucleotide ribosomal RNA is filed under the name Trichothecium crotocinigenum. RNAcentral describes it as "LSU rRNA". It matches the Rfam family "Eukaryotic large subunit ribosomal RNA", at positions 38 to 966 of the family's 3401-position model. The record is from RNAcentral. Lineage: Eukaryota; Fungi; Ascomycota; Sordariomycetes; Hypocreales.
GCAUAUCAAUAAGCGGAGGAAAAAGAAACCAACAGGGAUUGCCCUAGUAACGGCGAGUGAAGCGGCAACAGCUCAAAUUUGAAAGCUGGCUCUCGGGCCCGCAUUGUAAUUUGCAGAGGAUGCUUCUGGCGACGCGCCUUCCGAGUUCCCUGGAACGGGACGCCAUAGAGGGUGAGAGCCCCGUCCGGUCGUGCGCCUAGCCUCUGUGAAGCUCCUUCGACGAGUCGAGUAGUUUGGGAAUGCUGCUCAAAAUGGGAGGUAUACGUCUUCUAAAGCUAAAUACCGGCCAGAGACCGAUAGCGCACAAGUAGAGUGAUCGAAAGAUGAAAAGCACUUUGAAAAGAGAGUUAAAAAGUACGUGAAAUUGUUGAAAGGGAAGCGCUCAUGACCAGACUUGGGCUGGCUCGAUCAUCCGGCGUUCUCGCCGGUGCACUCGGGCCGCUCAGGCCAGCAUCAGCUUCCGCCGGGGGAUAAAGGCGGUGGGAAUGUGGCUCCCUCGGGAGUGUUAUAGCCCGCCGUGCAAUACCCUGGUGGGGGCUGAGGUUCGCGCGUAUGCACGGAUGCUGGCGUAAUGGUCAUCAGCGACCCGUCUUGAAACACGGACCAAGGAGUCGUCUUCGUAUGCGAGUGUUCGGGUGUCAAACCCCUACGCGGAAUGAAAGUGAACGCUGGUGAGAGCUUCGGCGCAUCACCGACCGAUCCUGAUGUUCUCGGAUGGAUUUGAGUAAGAGCAUACGGGGCCGGACCCGAAAGAAGGUGAACUAUGCCUGUAUAGGGUGAAGCCAGAGGAAACUCUGGUGGAGGCUCGCAGCGGUUCUGACGUGCAAAUCGAUCGUCAAAUAUGGGCAUGGGGGCGAAAGACUAAUCGAAACCUUUCUAGUAGCUGGUUUCCGCCGAAG